This is a long non-coding RNA of Sarcophilus harrisii (Tasmanian devil), 5967 nucleotides long. RefSeq lists it as uncharacterized. The transcript is spliced from 9 exons. The record is from RefSeq and is a predicted model, not a curated record. Lineage: Eukaryota; Metazoa; Chordata; Mammalia; Dasyuromorphia; Dasyuridae.
UUCCUCGCUCUCCCUCUCUCUCUCUCUCUCACACACACACACUCUUAUUUCCUAUCCACUCCUCCUCGCUUCUCUACACGGGGCAGAUUACUAUCACAGCUGUAACUGUGGCAAGGAAGCCGUAAACACAGCAGACCCAGUCUCCAUGGUGGCAGGAGGGGGCACUGGAGGUGACAACAAUGGAGAAGGACCUUCCUUCUGACAAGUUUUAGAUAUUCUGGGCUGAUUGAAUGAUGUCUAGACUCUUCUGUAAUGACUUCAUUUGAGAACAGAAGGCCUUCAGGGAAUACAUUCAGCCAAGCCCCCAAAAAAGACUGCCCUGGGGUGAAACAAAUACCUUUGAGAUUUCACUCAGGAGGGAUGGGUGCUUCACCAGUUUUCUGGAAGAAUUCUACUCUCAGCCACAAAGGAUUGGAUCCCCUAGAGCUACGGAGAUUUGGCAGCAAAAUUUUGCCACAGGUCUGAUUGAGAGAGAGAGAGAGGGAGGGAGGGAGAAGAAAGAGAGUUCCUCAAAAGGAACAUGUAAAUCAUAUAUGAAAUCGACUGAAGAACAUUUUUGACAUCACUUGCCCUAUUUGGUUGCUCCUCUUCUUUAUCAGUGGGUGACGGAUCGCAUCCUGCCAGCUGGCUAAUAUCGUAAUUAACAAAGUUGCAACCACAUCGGAGAAGUUUAAUCGAAAAAUUUGCCGGCAGUAUGAUGGCAUUGUCCCAGAGAUCACAAGCUAGGCAGCAACGACUUUCACUCUGGGAGAAGGGGAGAAGAGGGAGUCUGAACUUAGCCAGUCCAAGCUUCUCAAGAACCCCUUAAGCUUCGUUAAUGAGGUCCGUUGUGGAAUAUCUGGUGCCUUCUGAUGCUGGGAAUAAAAAUCUCGUCCUCUUGAAACUCUGACUGAGAAGUCAACAAACAACAAAUGCAACUCCAUCAUUUAUCGUGUGUUUGUGUUGCUGUUGGCCUUCACAUGAUCCUAUAAGAGAGUUUCAAGCCUGAAUCGCCAAUCUCCAAAGGUCUAGUUGUGAUUGGAGCUGGGCUUGCUUUGCAGAUCUGUGCACUCAGACCAAGAGGGCAGAAAAUUGGGGAAUUUACUCCUAAGAAUGAUUUUUCUGUGUGGAAAACAAAAAUGUGAAACAGGGAAGACAUCACCAAAAGAUGUUCAUCUGGAGAAACUCAUUGAGACUCUGCCAUUGUUUGCAAUACACACACACAUUUACUUUACCAUAGCUCCAUUUUAGUUUCUUAAAUUAUUCAUGGCUUUAUUUUUUAAAGUAUAUUUCAGCAUAUACAAAGAGAAAUGGGAAUAUUUCUGUGAAAAAAUACCUACAAUAUUUUACCUCCAACAAUUCUAUCAAACUUUAUGAUAGUCACAACCUAGAAAUCCACAGCUUUGUUUUUUCGAAAGGAUGAACGUGGAGAGCAGGUACUCUGAUGAGCAAAGGUAAGCUAUUUCUGUAUUAUGCAAAGUCAGACAUUCCCAUCAUUCCACAGUGUAUCUUGGUAUUUACAUACCAGAUGGGAGAAUUUGGAAGUUUCUGGGACCACAAUUAAGUAUAUUGUUUCAUUAACUCAAUGAAUGGCACGAUCUGAUUUAUACUUUGAUGAUGAAUGUACAAUUUAAUCAUUUCGAUUUGGGAUAGGAAGGCAAUAUUGCUAACUGGGAAGAGAUUUCAUGAUCUUUUCCCCACCUCCAUAGGGAUGUCACUUCUUGGUAGCAAACUGGAAACUUAGAUGGACAAGUUAACUUUUUUUAAUCACAAGGCAACAUCAUUAUCAUUGGCUUUAUCAUACUAUAAUGCCCUUGGUUCUUUUAUAAAAAGGAUGUGGUCACGUAGGUAAUAUAUUCCCCCCAGUUCUAUAGAGCAUUUGAGUCACUUUCGAUAGUAGCAUUUUGAGACAACUAUUAUUUGCUAUAAACUGACCAUUUUCUAGAUACAGGAGAGUAGGGAAGAGAGCAAAUAGUCUUCUAGCUAGGGGAAAACAAGAGCAGAGACUUAAACAGUAAGUACUGCUCUCUCUCUAGCCUUGCCUUAUCUUUUUUCUAAGACUUUUUUUUUUUUUUUUUUAAAUGAUGUGUGAUUAAAGAGUUCAAGUGAGACAGUGAUCAGGAAUUGCAUCUAAAAUACAACGCCUUGAGGGCAAGAGAGCAUCUGUUAUUUUUCCUUGAAUUUCCCUAGUGCCUAGAACUAUACAUUGCACUAAGCUGGUGCUUCAUGAAUGAAUGUGGAAUUAAUGCAAUAAAAUGAAUGAAUGAAUAAAAAUGCUAUUUUAUAUAAUAUUUUGAAAUUUUAAUAAGGGGAAACAUAAUAUAUGUAUGUAUGUUUAUAAAAUGAUGUCUUGUGUCACUAGCCAUAGUUUCAAAAUCAAUGUACAGAAACAAAAAUAGCAAAUAUUGAUUUACACGUGUUUAAAGUGGAGAGGAAAUCAGUAAAAUUGAUAGACAGUUCCUACUUAAUGACAGAACAAUAAAUCUGUACAGAGUUCUAUUAAACUCCCUUCUCUCCAUAAAGAGAAGUCUUUAGAGAAAACUGGGUUGGGUUUUUUUUUUUUUUUUUUAUGCUAGAAAAGCAGCUAAUAGGCUCCAUAGAUUUUGCACGUUAUAGCCAAAAUGUUAUUCUUGUAGGUCAUCUUCAUUCAAAUUACUUAGAAUCAUAGAAUGUCAAAGGUGGAUGAGAUUCUUAGUUUAGCUUUCUCAUUUUAUAGAUAAGGAAAUUGCAAUCUAGAAAGGCAUUGUCCAAAGCUCAAUGGCAGAAGUGAGGCUUGUCCCCAAUUCCCAUAACUCUCAAUUUAAAUACAUGUCUUUUUUAUAUCAUAUCACACUUGCUUGUGGAAAAUAGCAUAGUUUAUUCAAAUGAAUGCUAGCUUAGGCUAGAUUCAAAUUCUACCUUUUGCAUUUAUAAGCUGUGUGUUCUUGAUUAAGUAACCUUAACCUCUCUCAGACUCAAUUUCCUUUUCUGUCAAAUGAGGAUAAUAAUGUUUGUAACAACUGCCUCUUUGGGUUAUUGUGUGAAUCAAAAGAAAUCAAAUGUUCAGAUAGUUUCACAAACCCAUAAAAUACCUUAAGAUGCCAUCUGUUGUCAAAGUGGAGUUUUCUUUGUUUCUUCUUCCUUCAUAGAUUCUUCUGAGGGACUGUUUUUACUUAUUUUUAAAAGCUUCUUGUGAACCAAACACUAAAUACUAAAAUAAACUGUCUUGAUUGUUAUGGCAGCUUCAUAAUGGAGCUUUCCCUUCAGCAGAGCUAAAUACAAAUAGUUAAGGGUCUUGAGUGUUGAUUCCAGGUAAGUUAUCCUUUUUGUAUCACUGUGUUACCUGAGGGGACUCCUGAAAUGAUACCAGCAACCUAAGAGAGAUUGUUGUUUGCUAGGCUGAUGAGAGGACAGAGACUGGCUCUUAUCUUUGAAAUCAGUGUGAGAACUUCCAAAAUUGCCUUAACCCCUGUUUAAUACAUUCAUAGAUCUUAUUAGGAAUUUAGUAAAGCAAGUCCCCUCUAACAGAUACAUUGUGUUAUAUGUCAUGGAUUGAGUUGCAAGUAGGAUUUUCAAUACAGUGUAACAAGAUUAAUGUUCUCUCUCUCCAUCUUUCCUAUCCUUAAUUUUCCCCUUCUUUCUCUGAAUAUGGUUCUGGCCCUGGUAUGGUCCAUCUCUCUCCCACCUCCCCCCCCACAGAGAACUUCCCAUGCUUCCUUUAGCAUCCACCACCCAUUGAAAGAUUCUCAACAAUACAAAUAGGAAUAAAUCUAUCUAUUCUGAAGAUAUCCAUUCUACUGAGGAAAGCCAGGAGGGAGUAUUCUCUUUUUCUUUGGAUUUACUCAGGGUGAACCUGCCUAUACCUGGGUAAUAGCCUGCUAAUCUUGACUUACUGUUACUACUGAAGUAGUAUUUAUUCUCUCCCAAUUGGAACUCUACCAAACAUCCUGUAGGGUUUUUGUCCCCCGUCUUCAACAACAGAAUCUCCAUCUGCUUUAGUGGACCUGGAGCAAAGCACUGUGGACUUUUUUGAGAAUUAGAGAAAGAAAAAAAAAAUAAUUCCUUAUCAAAGUUAAACAAGGAGAAUUUCCAGGCUUGAAAUUAACUUUAAUGUUCUCAGAGACUCAAUCUUUUAUUCAAAGUCUAUGUUGAGGAGAAAAAAGUUUUAUCUGCUCUAUCCUCACAAUCAGGGUUAUCAGAACACUACUUUUCUUAUCCCAUUCCUAGUUUAAUUGCUCCAUAAAGUUAUGGUGGCACAGGUGAAGCUAGGCAACACUGAACAGCAUGAAGCGCUAAUUGCACUAAAUUUGGAAAUCUUCAGGUUCCAUUUAUCUUUAACAACUUUCUGGCCAAGCAGACACCAUAAGAUCAACUCAUUAUGACAGUACACUCAGUUUUUAAAUUGAAUUUAAAUUAAAUCAAUUAUAUUUUGAUUAACAAUUAAACCCAGAUUUCUUAUUUUUUGAUGUCAAAACAAAAUUUCUUUCACUAUUUAUCAGAAGGCCUCUUCAUUUAUUGUGCUAUUUUGGAAGUUGUCACUAGAGUCCAUGAAAUCUUAAUCAUGAGCCCUCUAAUUUCCUAAUGGGGUGGAGGGAAUACAUUGAUUUAUUGAUCUGUGUUUAAAAAAACAAAACAAAACCUAGAAGAUCAAUCUGACAUUUUAGGUUAAUUUUAGGAAACAAAGAAAGUCAUAAUUAAAUGAGAUAAGGAUUUUAGUUGUUCAUUCCAGUUUAUAAUAAAAAACAGCCCCUUACCCAAAGUGUCUUAGAAAAUAAUGCAUUCAGACUGAGCAGAAUUACUGCCUAGCAGAUUCUAUUUAUCUGUAGCUUAAAAAGCAGCUGCGUUUUUGUAAAAAGCAAUGAAUGUGGCAUUCCUACUUAAAGGUGGAAGGAAAAAAACACUCCUUGUUUUGUAAUAAGGGGAUUUUCAAUUUAAAAGAGAGAGCAGGCCUGUUGUGUGAAGUAUGGUUAUUACAUUCACUGUAUUCUAUCUCACCCACCAGGAGGCUAAUAAUGAGGAGUGAGGGAAGGGGGCCACGGCCACGAGGGUUAUCUCACAGUCCCAGAUGCUGGAUAAGUUGGAGGAGGCAGAAUCACUUUUGGAUGACAUUCAGAAAGGCCUGAAUGCUUAUUGGGAGAAGAAAAGACUAUUCUUUACAAGGUGUGGGGCAUCUCUUCCCUUGCCUGAACGGUGAUGAUCAGUCUGCCAGCAUCUCAUGAGACAAAGGAUUCGCUCCUGAGCCCCGCCACACCUUAAAAAAUGCUUUGAAGGGCUUGCCAAGCUCACUUUUAAUCAUGGGAAAGAAAUUACCCACAUGGAGUCAGCAGAAAAUGAAAAAGUGGGCCUCGUGCUGAGAUAAUUCCAGCAAGUGCCAAGGGGCUAGUUGAGAUAUGGCUUCAUGAGGUGAAUAUCUUUAGCUCUUACUUAGGGUUUAGUUACUGUAUAAUCAUUCUCUCUUUUAGGAGCAAUGAAUAUCCCAAGUGUGUUUCCUAACCAAAGCUGUCUUUCUCCAAGCGUUUGUCGGGAUAUUGAUGGAUUCCAUAGGAAAUGAGGGUUCUGGGUCCUGCUUGUUAUUUCCUUCUACUCAGGACAAGUUUGCAACUCUGCAGAAAUUUCAUUCAGUGACAAGACCAAGCCAGUGACUGCCGCUAGCUGUGUGUAUCUGUGCAUCUCUCUGUUUGAGUAUCUGUCUAGUACUUUAUGUCUCUGUGUAUAUCUGUAUCUUUGUUCUUGUCCUUGGCCCCUCCGUAGGAGACUAUCUGGGGAGGAUUGAAGAGCAGGUGGUUUUCAGAUGUAACCUUGGGAGGAGCAAUGGUUGGGGAAGGGCCAAAGGUGGGACUUGAUUGGGGGUGGAGGGAAGGAGAAAAGGUGUCACCUUGAUAAUUAAUGAUCAAUCUUAAUUUCCAAUCCGUUUUAAAAGGGGGGGGAUAUCCCCUGAGGACACUAACCUAACCCCAUCUUCCCUUUGGGGUACCACAAUUCCAAUUAAACAUCAGUUUCAGUGUGAAA